RNAcentral lists this non-coding RNA (329 nucleotides) under Paenalicyclobacillus ferrooxydans. RNAcentral describes it as "Alicyclobacillus ferrooxydans T-box sequence". It matches the Rfam family "T-box leader". From Rfam's summary of the family: Uncharged tRNA acts as the effector for transcription antitermination of genes in the T-box leader family. T-boxes are found upstream of many aminoacyl-tRNA synthetase genes and some amino acid biosynthetic genes usually in Gram-positive bacteria. Lineage: Bacteria; Bacillati; Bacillota; Bacilli; Caryophanales; Alicyclobacillaceae. The record is from RNAcentral.
GUUUCACCGUUGACGAGGACGAGUAGUUCUUGCCCUACCCUGUCACAGAGAGUGGGGAGUGCUGGGAACCCCAUACAGGAACAAGGAUGAAAAUCACCUCUGAGGUGUUUGCGGAAAGCUGAAUCGGCGAGUACAGCAAACCGGGGCCUUCCCGUUACAGUGGGGCAAACUGGCGCAAGCACGGUCAAGAGUCUGGCCGCCUGCAAGGUUUGACAGAUGGAGCGUCACACCGUGCGUUGAACCUUCGGAGGUUGCAUCCGAGGUUUGCCGAUCCGAUGGUGGUUGACGUUAAGUUGGGUGGUACAGCGGGAAUUCAACCCGCCCCUUCA